Molecule: long non-coding RNA, 174 nt
Organism: Arachis duranensis
Lineage: Eukaryota; Viridiplantae; Streptophyta; Magnoliopsida; Fabales; Fabaceae
Exons: 3
Source: RefSeq, a predicted model, not a curated record
AUGCGUCUUUUGGAAGAUCAGAUAAAGGCCUGUGCAUAUAUAUUUUCAGCAUCGCUAGAUCCAUCUGAAGAACUUGUCGUAACAAAUACAAUCAGAGCAACUAGAUCAGACUUUGCACAUUUCAUACCUGACAGACCCAUUACUGAUAAGAUUCUUGAAUUAGCGGCAUUGAAA